RNAcentral lists this long non-coding RNA (720 nucleotides) under Vulpes vulpes (red fox). Its description in RNAcentral is "lncRNA (ENSVVUG00000015181.1)". The record is from RNAcentral. Lineage: Eukaryota; Metazoa; Chordata; Mammalia; Carnivora; Canidae.
UGCGUGCUGGCGGGCCGGUGGGUAGCUCGGAGGAGGCUCUGGAGGCUGGUCUGGAGCCUGGUGUUUGCUCUUUCCUCAGCCCCGUCAUUUUGCACAGGUCGUGCUGCCCGGGGACGCCCGAGGACGGACAGCCAGCCAGGAUACCUCCUCAUGGCCACCACCCCUAUGAGAUCACACCGCCGGAGCCACCCGGGGCCUUGGCACCAGAUCACAGUCUUCCUUCUCCCAAACGCCUGCAUGUCCCGGGGGGAUGUCGGCAUCCUCUGCUCCCCCGCUGCCCAGCACCCACCACCUGGGGCGCCUUCUAUCUGCUGAGCGAGCCAGACGGAUACACAGCCGCACCUAGGAAACAGACAGCAGUCCUCGCCAGCAUUCCUGAGGAAGGCCAGGGGCGAGGUCGGGCCACCUGCCCCGCAGGGAAAAUGAAGCCCCUGGGUGGGGAUGCCUGCCUUGGACAACUGGCCCCUGCUCCACAUGCACUCCUACGGUAGCCACGGCCACCAGUCCCCUUGCCCCUUUGCCGGUGGGCAGCCUGGCCUCUGGGGACCAGAGGGACGUCGGGGACCCACUCCCACAUGUUCACCUCUUUUUUCUGUAUUGCUCGUCAUUCCAGGUCCACGUCUUCCCUUUUAUUACCAGUAGUAAUAUUAACAGUUCGCUGAGCUUCAUGCUGGUAGGUCUCACUGGCAGGAUGACUUACAAAGAAUAGGCCAUAAAAUA